This 447-nucleotide ribosomal RNA is filed under the name uncultured bacterium. RNAcentral describes it as "partial 16S ribosomal RNA". It matches the Rfam family "Bacterial small subunit ribosomal RNA", at positions 330 to 794 of the family's 1533-position model. The record is from RNAcentral.
CCCAGACUCCUACGGGAGGCAGCAGUGGGGAAUAUUGCACAAUGGGGGAAACCCUGAUGCAGCAACGCCGCGUGAGUGAAGAAGUCAUUCGUGAUGUAAAGCUCUAUCAGCAGGGAAGAAAAUGACGGUACCUGAGUAAGAAGCCCCGGCUAACUACGUGCCAGCAGCCGCGGUAAUACGUGGGGGGCAAGCGUUAUCCGGAUUUACUGGGUGUAAAGGGAGCGUAGACGGCCAGACAAGUCUGAAGUGAAAAUCCAGCGCUUAACGCUGGAAGUGCUUUGGAAACUGCCGGGCUGGAGUGCAGGAGGGGCAGGCGGAAUUCCUAGUGUAGCGGUGAAAUGCGUAGAUAUCAGGAGGAACACCGGCGGUGAAGGCGGCCUGCUGGACCGUGACCGACGUUGAGGCUCGAGAGCGUGGGGAGCAAACAGGAUUAGAUACCCUCGUACA